RNAcentral lists this ribosomal RNA (179 nucleotides) under uncultured bacterium. RNAcentral's name for it is "partial 16S ribosomal RNA". It matches the Rfam family "Bacterial small subunit ribosomal RNA", at positions 1320 to 1500 of the family's 1533-position model. The record is from RNAcentral.
AUGAAGUCGGAAUUGCUAGUAAUCGCGGAUCAGCAUGCCGCGGUGAAUACGUUCCCGGGCCUUGUACACACCGCCCGUCACACCAUGGGAGUCGGUAACACCCGAAGCCGAUAGUCUAACGAAAGAGGACGUCGUCGAAGGUGGGAUUGAUGACUGGGGUGAAGUCGUAACAAGGUAUC